This 253-nucleotide ribosomal RNA is filed under the name uncultured bacterium. Its description in RNAcentral is "partial 16S ribosomal RNA". It matches the Rfam family "Bacterial small subunit ribosomal RNA", at positions 524 to 776 of the family's 1533-position model. The record is from RNAcentral.
UACGAAGGGGGCUAGCGUUGUUCGGAAUUAUUGGGCGUAAAGCGCACGUAGGCGGUCCGUUAUGUCGGACGUGAAAGCCCUCGGCUCAACCGAGGAAGUGCAUCCGAAACUGGCGGGCUAGAGUACGAAAGAGGGUCGCGGAAUUCCCGGUGUAGAGGUGAAAUUCGUAGAUAUCGGGAGGAACACCGGUGGCGAAGGCGGCGAUCUGGGUCGAUACUGACGCUGAGGUGCGAAAGCGUGGGGAGCAAACAGG